Molecule: non-coding RNA, 56 nt
Filed under: bovine gut metagenome
Source: RNAcentral
UUCAGUGGACAGAUUUGAUUGAUUGCAACCACAAGAAAAAAUGCUAAAACAGUAUU